AUUGACUAUCGUCCUCUUUCAUGUUUCGGUUUUCUUUGGCUAUAUAAACGGACUUAUCAAGCUGCAUGCCAUGUGCACACUUUCUGCUUAAGUAGACAGGAUGGGGAAGCCGCGAGGUGCCUGGGGAGUCUCACGAAAGCGGUAACCAUGAUGGCAAGCAAGAGAAAGAUUGCAAAACAUACAGUCAUGCAUGGACAAGAAGAAACAGCUCAAGAUCAAAAUAUAUUACUGGGAGGUUCGAAUGGGGGUGACGUCAUUUAGCAAUUUCACCUGGAGUAGGCUUCAUACUUCAAAAACAAGUGAUAGACGGUUAAAGCUAGGAAAAUGUAGCUCAGCAAAACUUGGCCAAAGGUUGCAGUACAUAUAAAAAGGCCAAUGCAUGUUGUCCUCUAAUGCACUAGAAUACCAAAUGGAUUCCCCUGUGUCUUGAUAAACUGGAGAGUUGAGGAGAAUAUUGAAACGCAUUCCUAUCACAGCCUCAUCCAUUAUUCGACCACGGCAAGGAAGAUUUGCUCUCUAGGUUAGCGAGCCCCAAGUCAAUAUGAGGUAUUAGCAGAGGUUUCUAAGAGUGAUAUAAUCUUGGGU
This 585-nucleotide small RNA is filed under the name Histoplasma ohiense. RNAcentral's name for it is "hypothetical lncRNA". Lineage: Eukaryota; Fungi; Ascomycota; Eurotiomycetes; Onygenales; Ajellomycetaceae. The record is from RNAcentral.